Molecule: ribosomal RNA, 163 nt
Filed under: uncultured bacterium
Lineage: Bacteria
Description: partial 16S rRNA
Rfam family: Bacterial small subunit ribosomal RNA
Source: RNAcentral
UAGGGAAUCUUCCACAAUGGACGAAAGUCUGAUGGAGCAACGCCGCGUGAGUGAAGAAGGGUUUCGGCUCGUAAACUCUGUUGUUAAAGAAGAACAUAUCUGAGAGUAACUGUUCAGGUAUUGACGGUAUUUAACCAGAAAGCCACGGCUAACUACGUGGCAG